GUUUCGGUAGCUCAACGGUAGAGCGUUUGGUUGUAACCAAAAGACUGUAGGUUCAAACCCUACUCGAAGCU
This 71-nucleotide transfer RNA is filed under the name Companilactobacillus paralimentarius. Its description in RNAcentral is "Lactobacillus paralimentarius tRNA-OTHER". It matches the Rfam family "tRNA". From Rfam's summary of the family: Transfer RNA (tRNA) molecules are approximately 80 nucleotides in length. Their secondary structure includes four short double-helical elements and three loops (D, anti-codon, and T loops). RNAcentral also lists the same sequence under 1 other name. The record is from RNAcentral. Lineage: Bacteria; Bacillati; Bacillota; Bacilli; Lactobacillales; Lactobacillaceae.